GAUGAACGCUGGCGGCGUGCCUAAUACAUGCAAGUCGAGCGAACAGACGAGGAGCUUGCUCCUCUGACGUUAGCGGCGGACGGGUGAGUAACACGUGGAUAACCUACCUAUAAGACUGGGAUAACUUCGGGACACCGGAGCUAAUACCGGAUAAUAUAUUGAACCGCAUGGUUCAAUAGUGAAAGACGGUUUUGCUGUCACUUAUAGAUGGAUCCGCGCCGCAUUAGCUAGUUGGUAAGGUAACGGCUUACCAAGGCAACGAUGCGUAGCCGACCUGAGAGGGUGAUCGGCAACACUGGAACUGAGACACGGUCCAGACUCCUACGGGAGGCAGCAGUAGGGAAUCUUCCGCAAUGGGCGAAAGCCUGACGGAGCAACGCCGCGUGAGUGAUGAAGGUCUUCGGAUCGUAAAACUCUGUUAUUAGGGAAGAACAAAUGUGUAAGUAACUAUGCACGUCUUGACGGUACCUAAUCAGAAAGCCACGGCUAACUACGUG
RNAcentral lists this ribosomal RNA (497 nucleotides) under uncultured bacterium. RNAcentral's name for it is "partial 16S ribosomal RNA". It matches the Rfam family "Bacterial small subunit ribosomal RNA", at positions 28 to 507 of the family's 1533-position model. The record is from RNAcentral.